UCCCAUGUGGUCCACUGGUUAAGACCCUGCACUUUCAAUGCAGGGGGCACGGGUUCCAUCCCUGAUCAGGGAA
This 73-nucleotide transfer RNA is filed under the name Bos taurus (domestic cattle). It matches the Rfam family "tRNA". Rfam says of the family: Transfer RNA (tRNA) molecules are approximately 80 nucleotides in length. Their secondary structure includes four short double-helical elements and three loops (D, anti-codon, and T loops). RNAcentral also lists the same sequence under 5 other names. The record is from Rfam by way of RNAcentral. Lineage: Eukaryota; Metazoa; Chordata; Mammalia; Artiodactyla; Bovidae.